GUCCACGCCGUAAACGAUGAAUGCUAGCCGUUGGGCAGCUUGCUGUUCAGUGGCGCAGCUAACGCAUUAAGCAUUCCGCCUUGGGAGUACGGCCGCAAGGUUGAAACUCAAAGGAAUUGACGGGGGCCCCGCACAAGCGGUGGAGCAUGUGGUUUAAUUCGACGCAACGCGCAGAACCUUACCAGGGUUUGACAUCCUGCGACCGCUCCGUAAUGGGAGUUUUCCCGCAAGGGACGCAGAGACAGGUGCUGCAUGGCUGUCGU
Molecule: ribosomal RNA, 263 nt
Filed under: uncultured bacterium
Lineage: Bacteria
Description: partial 16S ribosomal RNA
Rfam family: Bacterial small subunit ribosomal RNA
Source: RNAcentral